UACGGAGGGUGCAAACGUUGCUCGGAAUCAUUGGGCGUAAAGCGCACGUAGGCGGUCCGUUAAGUCGGAUGUGAAAGCCCCGGGCUCAACCCGGGAAGUGCAUACGAAACUGGCGGACUUGAAUAUGGAAGAGGGUCGCGGAAUUCCCGGUGUAGAGGUGAAAUUCGUAGAUAUUGGGAAGAACACCGGUGGCGAAGGCGGCGCUCUGGACCGAGACUGACGCUGAGGCGCGAAAGCGUGGGGAGCAAACAGG
Molecule: ribosomal RNA, 253 nt
Filed under: uncultured bacterium
Lineage: Bacteria
Description: partial 16S ribosomal RNA
Rfam family: Bacterial small subunit ribosomal RNA
Source: RNAcentral